Molecule: long non-coding RNA, 229 nt
Filed under: Elaeis guineensis (African oil palm)
Lineage: Eukaryota; Viridiplantae; Streptophyta; Magnoliopsida; Arecales; Arecaceae
Description: long non-coding RNA (EGUI_LNC014390)
Source: RNAcentral
GGCCCCAUUAGGCCUGAUAUUAGUUCCUGAUUCCGAGUCCUUAUCAACCUCAAAUUGGGGAUUACUUAAGCGGCCAGCCAGUCGCUAGGGAUUUGUUGCUGCUGAUUUCCUAAUAUGAGGAGUCAUAACAUGAGUCUGGGAAUGCUAUCAGCUUAGCUCUGGUCUGAAUCCGUAUCCUACCCAUCCAAGAAUCAGGUAGCAAAAGGUUUAGGUAGAACCGGCUGGGUAG